AACCUCCAUAUGCCGCGGGAGCGGCCCAAGAAAUAGCAACAACAACAACAACAAAAGACAAAAAAAAAAAAAAAAGAAGAUGUGGUAUAAAUACGCAAUGGAAUACUACGCAACCAUAAAAAAGAACAAAAUAAUGCCAUUUGCAGCAACAUGGAUACAAGUAGAUAUUAUCAUACUAAGUGAAGUUAGUUAGAAAGAGAAAGACAGAUACCAUCUAGUGUCAUUUAUAUGUGAUAUCUAAGAUAUGGCACAAGUAAACCAAUCUAUAAAACAGAAACUGACUCACAGACAAGCAGAACAGACUUGUGGUUGCCAAGGGGAGGAGGAAGGGAGGGGGAUGAACUGGGAGUCUGGGGUUAGUAGAUGCAAACCGUUACAUUUAGAAUGGAUAAGAAAUAAGGUCUUACUGUACAGCAUAGGGAACUAUAUCCAAUCUCUUGGGAUAGACCAUGAUGGAAGAUAAUAUAAGAAAAGGAAUGUGUAUGUAUAUAUGACUAGGUCACUUUGCUGUACAGCAGAAAUUGGCUCGACAUUGUAAAUCAAUUAUACUUUAAUUAAAAAAUAAAUUUAAGGGAGUUCCCUUCGCGAUCCUUAACCCACUGAGCAAGGCCAGGGAUCGAACCCACAACCUCAUGGUUCCUAGUUGGAUUUGUUCACCACUGAGCCACGACGGGAACUCCUAUUCUUUAUAUUUUUUUAAAUUGAAGUAUAGUUGAGGUACACCAUUAUAUAAUUUUAAGGUGUACCACAUAGUGAUUCACAAUUUUGAAAGGUUGUACUCCAAAAGGUUUUACUUUUUAUAUCCCCUUGUCACUUCCGUGGCAUCCUGAAUUGCUGUGCCUCUGGAACAGAUGAUAGGAGUGGGCAAACACGCUCUCCUUGUGCUCCUGGCAACAAGGAAGCAUUGCUGGUGAGAUGUGUCUGCAGAGUGGCCCCGUGGAUGGACCUGAUUCUGUUCCUUGGGCAAAGCUUCCCAGGGCCUCGUGGAUCUCCUCCUAGUAGGUGGGGCUGUGAGAACAGUGCCCAUUGGCUAAUAGGACUUGACUACUUAUUUGUACAUAGGUGUAAUGAAGAGGCUUCCUUUGUGUUGUUGAAUCCAGGUUUGGUUUUGUUAGAAGUGUGUCAGCAGUUCAAAAGGAAGAAAUGUUUGAUCCGUUUGGGAAGGCACAGGUUGGCCAUUUCUCUCUUGAGAGCAGCUCCACACGAGUAAAUUCAAAACAUUUGAAACAAACUAAACACUCUUCUGUCGUCACAGGACCACUAGCCUAGAUGAUGAGGUCAAGUCCUAACACAAAGUGAGGGACGGAAGAAAACAAAUCAGUUCUAGGCUUGAAAACUAGCUCAUUCCUUUACUAAUGGAAAAACCUAGGGGAAAUUAGGAGAAGUGUUUGGAGCCUCAGUUUUCUUCAUCUGUAAAAUGGAGAUAAUAAUUCCUGCCUCAUUUGUGUCUCGUGAGGAUGAAAUUUGCUGACAUGGUGUCUAUCUGUGGUGGGCAUUUGUAAAUAUAGUUUUUCCCUACUCUUUUAAAUUUCUCUACCUAAGUUUAUCGACUGUAAAAAAGAUGUUUUGCAGAUGACCAUUAAGCUGUGUUUUAGUUCUAAAACACCAAUAAAUUGUGCUCUUGGUAAUAAUCAGAGGAAAAACAAAAUGAGGAUUAAGUCCAGUGAGAGUUUUGUGUCUUUUAUGAGAGAUUUGGGGGAGAGGGGGCAACUGUAGGGCAAAAAUUAGAGAAGAAGGAAUUUUUAAAGAGGAAAAAAAAUUAGGCUUUGCUCUCCAGAGAUAACCCCCCCCAAAAGAAAAGACUUCAGUGCAAAGAAACAGCUAAUAAAAGCUCGAAAGAGCUUUCAGU
RNAcentral lists this long non-coding RNA (1849 nucleotides) under Sus scrofa (pig). Its description in RNAcentral is "lncRNA (ENSSSCG00000058334.1)". Lineage: Eukaryota; Metazoa; Chordata; Mammalia; Artiodactyla; Suidae. The record is from RNAcentral.